Molecule: long non-coding RNA, 249 nt
Filed under: Lathyrus oleraceus (garden pea)
Lineage: Eukaryota; Viridiplantae; Streptophyta; Magnoliopsida; Fabales; Fabaceae
Description: Pisum sativum (pea) long non-coding RNA (PSAT_LNC033555)
Source: RNAcentral
ACAUUUGGCGCGGGGUCCUCAAAGGACAUCAUACCACUCUUCAUAAGCUUUUGAACCUCAUACUUCAAUGGAUAACAGUUUUCAAUAUCAUGUUCGGGUGCUCCUUGGUGAAAAGCACAACAGAGUUUAGGUUUUUACCACCAGGGAAGUGGUUCUGGGAUCUGCGGUGGGUUUCUCGGUUGAAUUAAGUUAUUGAGAACUAGCGAGGGAUACAACUCUGCAUACGACAUAGGAAUCAGGUCAAAAGAG